Small nucleolar RNA from Hevea brasiliensis (rubber tree), 99 nucleotides. RefSeq annotates it as small nucleolar RNA Z161/Z228. The transcript has a single exon. The record is from RefSeq and is a predicted model, not a curated record. NCBI's taxonomy places the organism in Eukaryota, Viridiplantae, Streptophyta, Magnoliopsida, Malpighiales, Euphorbiaceae.
AAAUCAAAUGAUGAUUUUUUAUUAUAAAUUUCUCACGAUGCUCAUCUGAGACGCUCAUGGUGUCCAUGCUGAUUCAAUAAUCCAAUGCUUCUGAUGGUU